AAUCAACGCUGGCGGCGUGCCUCAGACAUGCAAGUCGAACGAUUAAAGCUCUCUUCGGAGAGUGUAUAGAGUGGCGCACGGGUGAGUAACACGUAAGUAAUCUACCCUCGAGUGGGGAAUAACAACCGGAAACGGUUGCUAAUACCGCAUAAUGCAGCGGCACCGCAAGGUGACAGUCGUUAAAGAUUUAUCGCUUGAGGAGGAGCUUGCGGCAGAUUAGCUAGUUGGUAGGGUAACGGCUUACCAAGGCUACGAUCUGUAACCGGUCUAAGAGGACGGUCGGUCACACUGACACUGAAUAACGGGUCAGACUCCUACGGGAGGCAGCAGUCGGGAAUUUUGGGCAAUGGGCGAAAGCCUGACCCAGCAACGCCGCGUGAAGGAUGAAGUAUUUCGGUAUGUAAACUUCGAAAGAAUAGGAAGAAUUAAUGACGGUACUAUUUAUAAGGUCCGGCUAACUACGUG
This 465-nucleotide ribosomal RNA is filed under the name uncultured bacterium. Its description in RNAcentral is "bacterial SSU rRNA". It matches the Rfam family "Bacterial small subunit ribosomal RNA", at positions 32 to 507 of the family's 1533-position model. The record is from RNAcentral.